Molecule: small nuclear RNA, 289 nt
Filed under: Myotis davidii
Lineage: Eukaryota; Metazoa; Chordata; Mammalia; Chiroptera; Vespertilionidae
Description: 7SK RNA
Rfam family: 7SK RNA
About the family: 7SK was discovered as an abundant small nuclear RNA in the mid-70s but a possible function has only recently been suggested. Two independent studies have found that 7SK RNA binds the CDK9/cyclin T complex (known as elongation factor P-TEFb). P-TEFb activates transcription by phosphorylating the C-terminal domain of RNA polymerase II.
Source: Rfam by way of RNAcentral
GGAUGUGAGGGCGAUCUGGCUGCGACAUCUGUCACCCCAUUGAUCGCCAGGGUUGAUUCGGCUGAUCUGGCUGGCUAGGCGGGUGUCCCCCUCCUCCCUCACUGCGUCCCUCCAGAAGCUGCGCGCUCGGUCGUUGAGGACGACCUUCCCCCCCAGGAGAGGACCGGUCUUCGGUCAAGGGUAGCUGCGCUCCCCUGCUAGAACCUCCAAACAAGCUCUCAAGGUCCAUUAAAUGCGGAAUGUCUGCUUAGUGAGCCCAUGUCAAUAAAUUCAGCCUGACCCAACUUUA